AUGCUUGAUCUCAAUGAGUUGCCUCCUGAUCUCAAUGAGCUUCCUCAUGAUACGGAUCAGCAACAACCCAGCAUACAACAAGGAAAAUGGACAGAAAAUGGUCGAUAUGUUUACUACACGCAGGCAAAUCAUGAUGGUAAACCUAUGGGCCAUGACAAUGUGGCAGGCCAGUCAUCAGACCGUGGUGCUCAUGUAGUGGUGUCUUUGCAGUCAGAGAGCCAUACUCUAGAUGACACGGGAACCGAGGCAAAUGUUCCUGGUCCAACCAGGACUGAGCUAGGAGCUGGGGCUGUUGACGGAGCUGUGCAAUGA
Molecule: ribosomal RNA, 312 nt
Filed under: Triticum aestivum (bread wheat)
Lineage: Eukaryota; Viridiplantae; Streptophyta; Magnoliopsida; Poales; Poaceae
Description: partial small subunit ribosomal RNA
Source: RNAcentral